RNAcentral lists this unclassified non-coding RNA (1102 nucleotides) under Hevea brasiliensis (rubber tree). Lineage: Eukaryota; Viridiplantae; Streptophyta; Magnoliopsida; Malpighiales; Euphorbiaceae. The record is from RNAcentral.
GAAAGAAUGGCUCCCUCCAAUUCUCCUCUUAAGAAGAAGGAGAUUGCAUCCUCCGUUGCUCAUUGGGAGGACCUCAACCCUGAAAUACUUGCUUUGAUACUAGUUCGACUCCCACCUGACCAAAGGGUGGGACCCGUGUCGUUGGUGUGCAAGUCCUGGUUGGCAUGCGUUGCUGGACCCUGCUGCUGGUCCCAAAUCGACAUCCAACAAUGGUGUAGGCGGCAGGACCGCUCCGUCGAUCGAGUUGACUCAGUGGUGCGCAAGUUGAUUAAGCGUAGUAAAGGCACAUUUCGUCUGCUGUCUGCUUACAAGCUCGGAGAUGCCGGUUUCGCUUUCGCUGCUAACUGUGGGAGAUACCUUAAGGAACUGCGAAUUCCCAUGAGUGAUAUCACUGACAAGAUGGUGGAAAAGCAUGCUGGAUCACUAACUAAUUUGAUGCUCUUGGACAUCGUUACUGUUUGAAGAUCACAUGCCAAGGGCUUGUAGCAUUAGGAGAGAACUGCAAAUCCUUAACUCAUCUGAGGAGAAAUAUGCCACCACCAGAAUGGGGGAGGCCAGUGAAGAGAAAUUCUUCACGCUUGAAUGAUUGUGAAGCAUUGGUCAUUGCCAAUACAAUGUCAGGGCUCCAGCUUCUUGAACUUGUUUUUGGCUCCUUUGGAGAUUCUGGUCUUAAUGCCAUCCUUACCAAGUGCAAGGCUCUUUCCCAUCUUGAUAUUCAAGGCUGCUGGGGUGUGGAGCUGAAAGAUGAUCUAGAGGAUAGGUGCCUGCAGCUUCGGUAUUUCAAGAGCCCCUGGAUUGAUGACUAUGUCAACGAAAGUGAUGCGGAUGAUGAUGAAGAAUUUGCUAAUUUGCUUCUACGGAUUCAGAAUCUGAUUAGUCUAGAUUUUUAUAUUACACAGAUUACAGAUUUUUGCAGAUACAGAGCCAAAAGUUUCGGUUUCUAAAGCAUAAAUGCUCAAGUUAACAAUUCAAAAAAAUAAAAUUCACUGAUUGAAAUUGGCACCCUUGUUUGGGAGGACAGGGAUGAGAUGAUUUUCUAGAAAGGUAGGAUACUUUAUAAUAUUAAAAAUGCUGCUUCUGUUGGUGAAUACAUGUGUUUUAU